RNAcentral lists this transfer RNA (77 nucleotides) under Planctomycetales bacterium. RNAcentral's name for it is "tRNA-Met". It matches the Rfam family "tRNA". Rfam says of the family: Transfer RNA (tRNA) molecules are approximately 80 nucleotides in length. Their secondary structure includes four short double-helical elements and three loops (D, anti-codon, and T loops). Further hydrogen bonds mediate the characteristic L-shaped molecular structure. tRNAs have two regions of fundamental functional importance: the anti-codon, which is responsible for specific mRNA codon recognition, and the 3' end, to which the tRNAs corresponding amino acid is attached (by aminoacyl-tRNA synthetases). tRNAs cope with the degeneracy of the genetic code in two manners: having more than one tRNA (with a specific anti-codon) for a particular amino acid; and 'wobble' base-pairing, i.e. permitting non-standard base-pairing at the 3rd anti-codon position. Lineage: Bacteria; Pseudomonadati; Planctomycetota; Planctomycetia; Planctomycetales. The record is from RNAcentral.
CGCGGGGUGGAGCAGUCUGGUAGCGCGUCGGGCUCAUAACCCGAAGGUCGCAGGUUCGAAUCCUGCCCCCGCUACCA